GAUAGUAACUGAUCAGGUAGUGACGGUAUCCAACCAGAAAGCCACGGCUAACCUACGUGCCAGCAGCCGCGGUAAUACGUAGGUGGCAAGCGUUGUCCGGAUUUAUUGGGCGUAAAGCGAGCGCAGGCGGUUUCUUAAGUCUGAUGUGAAAGCCUUCGGCUCAACCGAAGAAGUGCAUCGGAAACUGGGAAACUUGAGUGCAGAAGAGGACAGUGGAACUCCAUGUGUAGCGGUGAAAUGCGUAGAUAUAUGGAAGAACACCAGUGGCGAAGGCGGCUGUCUGGUCUGUAACUGACGCUGAGGCUCGAAAGCAUGGGUAGCAAACAGGAUUAGAUACCCUGGUAGUCCAUGCCGUAAACGAUGAGUGCUAGGUGUUGGAGGGUUUCCGCCCUUCAGUGCCGCAGCUAACGCAUUAAGCACUCCGCCUGGGGAGUACGACCGCAAGGUUGAAACUCAAAGGAAUUGACGGGGGCCCGCACAAGCGGUGGAGCAUGUGGUUUAAUUCGAAGCAACGCGAAGAACCUUACCAGGUCUUGACAUCCUUUGACCACUCUAGAGAUAGAGCUUUCCCUUCGGGGACAAAGUGACAGGUGGUGCAUGGUUGUCGUCAGCUCGUGUCGUGAGAUGUUGGGUUAAGUCCCGCAACGAGCGCAACCCUUAUUACUAGUUGCCAGCAUUUAGUUGGGCACUCUAGUGAGACUGCCGGUGACAAACCGGAGGAAGGUGGGGACGACGUCAAAUCAUCAUGCCCCUUAUGACCUGGGCUACACACGUGCUACAAUGGAUGGUACAACGAGUUGCGAGACCGCGAGGUUUAGCUAAUCUCUUAAAACCAUUCUCAGUUCGGAUUGUAGGCUGCAACUCGCCUACAUGAAGCCGGAAUCGCUAGUAAUCGCGGAUCAGCAUGCCGCGGUGAAUACGUUCCCGGGCCUUGUACACACCGCCCGUCACACCAUGAGAGUUUGUAACACCCAAAGCCGGUGAGGUAACCCUUCGGGAGCCAGCCGUCUAAG
RNAcentral lists this ribosomal RNA (1013 nucleotides) under Latilactobacillus sakei. RNAcentral describes it as "bacterial SSU rRNA". It matches the Rfam family "Bacterial small subunit ribosomal RNA", at positions 447 to 1461 of the family's 1533-position model. Lineage: Bacteria; Bacillati; Bacillota; Bacilli; Lactobacillales; Lactobacillaceae. The record is from RNAcentral.